CAGUGAACCAACAUUUACUAAGUCUCUACUAUGUGCUAAGCCCAGUGCCAAGGACACCAGACCAACACAUCCCAUUCAGUUUCCAAGGAGCCCAUAACCAAACACUCAUAGUGUGACCAGAUGAAGUGAUUAAAUCUUUCCCCUGUUUUGCCCACUACCGACCACCUCGGGAGGGUCCUUCUCUACCAGUGCAGGUCUUUGGGUUUCCGUGAUGGAGAAUUUGAGAAUGGGCAGGUUUGAGAGGCCAUCCCCCUCAAAACACACACACACACACACACACACACACACGAGGCUAAAGGUCAGUGAUAAGAAAGAGGAGGAGGAAAAUCAUCUCAGAAAAAGGGGAACAGGGAGUUCUCUUCGUGGCUCAGCGGUUAAAGAACCUGACUAGGAUCCAUGAGGUUGCGGGUUCAAUCCCUGGCCUCACUCAGCGGGUUAAGGAUUCGGCAUUGCCUGAGCUGUGGUGUUAGUCACAGACAUGGCUUGGAUCUGGUGUGGCUGUGGCUGUGGCGUAGGCCGGCAGCUGUAGCUCUGAUUCAACCCCUAGCCUGGGAACUUCCAUAUGCCUCGGAUAUGCCCCUAAAAAGACAAAAGACAAAAAAUAAAUAAAUAAGAAUAAAAUAAAAGAAUAAACAGAAUAAGCAAGGAGGUAGGGAAAGAUAGAGACCUUAAAGAGAAAUCCUCUUUCAGCCCUUGUUUUCAUCAGCAUGAUUUUCCUUGGACUGACGUUUCUUUACCUGCCCAAGGGGUGAAAGGCUCAGGGAAAAGGGAGAAAGGAGUCCCCUCAAGCUUGCCUUUGAGCCAGGCAAAAAGGGGGCUCCAUGUGGUCCAGACUUUGGGAAAAAGAACUUUUGUAGGAUUUGAAGCAAAAGCCUGAUAGUAAUAGAGAGUGUGUAUUCACACAGUGCACACCUGUGCCUAUUACUUCUCCCUGAAAUCUGGUGCAAGGAUGAGUGGUCAGUGCAGUUAAGAAUAGAGGGUAGGGGAGUUCCCGCUGUGACUCAGUGGAUUAAGAACCUGACUCGUGGUGGUCCCGUUGUGGCUCAGCGGUAACGAACCUGAUCAGUAUCCAUGAGGAUGCACAUUUGUUACUGCAUGAGGAUCCCUGGCCUCAAACAGUGGGUUAAGGAUCUGGCCCUACUGCAAGCUGUGGUGUAGGUUGCAGAUGCAGCUCUGAUCCCACGUUGUCAUGGUUGUGGUGUAGGCUGGGAGCUGCAGCUCCGAUUUGACCCCUAGCCUGGGAACUUCCAUAUGCUGUGAGUUUGAUCCUAGAAAGAGGAAAGAAAGAGAGAAAGAAAAGAAAGAAAGAAAGAAAGAAAGAAAGAAAGAAAGAAAGAAAGAAAGAAAGAAAGAAAGAAAGACAGAAAGACAGAAAGAAAGAAAGAGAAAGAAAGAAAGACAGACAGACAGAAAGAAAGAGAAAGAAAGAAAGACAGACAGACAAAGAAAGAGAAAGAAAGAAAGAAAGAAAGAAAGAAGAAAGAAAGAAAGAAAGAAAGAAAGAAAGAAAGAAAGAGAAAAAGAAAGAAAGAAAAAGAAAGAAAGAAAGAAAGACAGACAGACAGACAGGUGAAGGAGCAGUCAUCUCCCAGGCUGGGCCCCUGCCCUCUCUGCAGCUCACAGCAGGGGCUGGAGCCCUUAGGCUCUGGAGCAGCCUCUCCAGUUGCCCAAGUGCCUGGUUGCCAGCUGUUUCCAUCCUGGAGCAUUGCCUCCAGGGCUCUGAUGCAACACCACAGCCCUGCCCUGGGGAGAAGGAAUCGGGCGCUUCACACAGGGUCGGGCUCUUUUUUUCAGGUAACUGUAGAGAUUUCAAGUCCUGGAUGGAGCAAGGAGAGAAAAGUCUCCUAGGCCCUAUCGAGGCUUGUCUUCUCUUGGACCCUUGACCCGCCCCUCACUGGCCUUGGCCUUCAAGUUUGGGUAUACACUGGGCUCAGCGCAGCAUAUGGAGGUUCCCAGGCUAGGGGUGGAAUCAGAGCUAUUGCUGCCGGCCUACACCACAGCCACAGCAACGCCAGAUCUGUGACCUACACUACAGCUCACGGCAAUGCUGGAUCCUUAAUUCACUGAGCAAGGACAAGGAUCAAACCCUCGUCCUCAUGGAUACUAGUCGGGUUCAUUAACCACUGAGCCAUGAUGGGAACUCCAAAAUGCACAUUCUUCAGGGCCCACCCUAGACUUAUCUGAACCAGAAACUGGGGUGGGUGGAUGGGACAGCAGUGUUUUAAUAAGUUCUCCAGGGUUCUCUUGUGGCCCAGAGUUCUCUUGUGGUGCUGUCACUGCAGUGGAUGGAUUCUUGCUGCGGUGCGGGUUCAGUCCCUGGCCUGGGAACCUCCACAAGCCGUGAGCGUGGGUAAAAAACCCCAAACCAGUUCUCUGAGUGAUUCAGGUGCAUUCUGAAGUUUGGGAACCACUUCCCAGAGGAUCAGGGAGGGUCAUGGAGGGCAGAUCCUGUCCUGUCCCUUCAUUUUAGUGAGAGGGAAACAGAGGCAUUGUACAGAGAGCAGGACCUGGCUCAGGUGGCACAGAUAAUCAAGUGGCAGAGGGGACACUGGAAGUUAGACUACCUGUUUCCAGAGACACCCCCUCUUGCCUCGCCCCGCUCUUUCCUUUGACUCAGGCCGAUCACCCAAGUCCCUCCUGAUUCACUGUCACUGUCUGGAGGGUCACCGUGAUGCCCGGACCAUCAGGGCCGCCCACUCCCUGUGCCAGGCACCAUGCUCACCCGCAUUGGCUUGAUGAACCCUCACAACAUCCAGGCGGGCUGGCUCAAGUAUAACCCCAUUUUGCGGACCAGAAAACUGAGCCUAGAGAAAGGUCAGGACACUUGGUCACAGAGCAAGAAAGGGCUGAGACGACUCACACCAGUUUCCUGCCUCCAGAGCCUAGGCUGUAGCCAGCAGGACCACACCCAGGCUUGCAGGAAGGGCUCUUCUCUAGCAUCUUCUGCUGAGACACCUGAAGGGACAAAAAGCUCCUUAAGCAGGUAAAACAGCUGGCAAACAGCCAAGGCCUCGAAGCUCCUGCGUUUACUCAGAGCAGAGCGCCUGUUGCUUGGUGUGCCCACAAUUGUGCCGACCUUGUAGGGCAGGAGCGGGGUGGAUUAGAAGCAGUCCACCAGGGAAUUCCUGUCAUGGCUCAGCGGAAAUGCAUCCGACUAGGAAUCAUGAAGUUGCUGGUUCGAUCCCUGACUUUGUUCAGUGGGUUAAGGAUCUGGCGUUGCCGUGAGCUGUGGUGUAGGUCACAGACAUGGCUCAAAUCUGGUAUUGCUGUGGCUGUGGUGUGGGUUGGCAGCUACAGCUCUGAUUAGACCCCCUAGUCUGGGAACCUCCAUUUGCCUCAAGUGCAGCUCUAAAAAUAAAAAAGAAAAAUUAUACAAGCGUCUUAGCAGUCUGGCAUAUUUUGGAGGACAUUUGCAAGUCUCAAUUAAAAUUUCAUAACUCAAUCUUCAUAAUGUAUAUUACGAUUAGAAACUAUAGUAUAAAAUAUUAAGAAAGAUUUCAGUCUUUUUGUCUUUUUUUUGGCAGGGGAGGCUGCACCCACAGCAUAUGGAGGUUCCCAGGCUAGGGGUCAAAUUGGACCUGUAGCUGCCGGCCUACACCACAGCCACAGCAACGGGGGAUCCAAGCUGCGUCUGUGACCUACACCACAGCUCACAGCAAUGCUGGAUCCUUAACUCACUGAGCAAGGAUCCGGCGUUGCCAUGGGCUGUGGUGUAGGUUGAAGAUGCAGCUUGGACCCCGUGUUGCUGUGGUGUAGGCCGUGGCUCUGAUUCGACCUCCAUAUGCCGCUGGAAGCGGCCCUAGAAAAGGUAAAAAGACAAAAAAAAAAACCAAAAAAAAAAAAACCCAAGAACUACCGUACGCUCCAGCAAUCCCAUUCCUAGUCAUAUAACUGGACAAAACUACAAUUCAAGAUACAUGAACCUGUAUGUUCAUAGCAGCACUAUUCACAGUAGCCCAGACAUGGAAACAACCUAAAUGUCCAGCAACAGAGGAGUGGAUUAAGAAGAUGCGGGGGAGUUCCCAUUGUGGCUCAGUGGUAACAAACCCACCUGGCAUCAACGAGGACACAGGUUCCAUCCUGGCCUUAACCCUCAGGGGGUUAAGGAUCCGUCAUUGCCAUGAGCUGCGAUGUAGGUCGCAGAUGAGGCUUGGAUCCCAUGUUGCUGUGACUGUGGUGCAGAACAGCAGCUACAGCUCUGAUUCGACCCCUAGCCUGGGAACUUCUACAUGCCGCAGGUGUGGCCCCGAAAAGCAAAAACAGAAACAAAAACAAGAUGUGGUACAUAUACACAGUGGAAUACUACUCACCCAUAAAAAGAAUGAAAUAAUGCCAUUUGGAGUAACAUGGAUGGAACUAGAGACUCUUAUACUAAGUGAAGUAAGUCAGAAAGACAAACCAUAUGAUAUUACUUAUACCUGGAAUCUAAAAUAUGGCACAAGUGAACCUUUCUUUAGAAUAGGAACAGACUCACGGACCUGGGGAACAGACUUGUGGUUGCCAAAGGGGAAGGGGGCAGGGAGUGGGAUGGACUGGGAGUCUGGGGUUGGUAGAUACACAGAAUUACAUUUAGAAGGGAUAAGCAAGGAGGUCCUGCUCCACAGCACAGGGAACUAUAUCCAGUCUCUUGGGACAGAAUAAGACAGGGAAUGAUAUGAGAAAAAGAAUGUAGGAGUUCCCAUUAUGGCUUAGGGGGUUAUGAACUCAACUAGUAUCUAUGAGGAUGUGAUAAGGAUCCGGCAUUGCUGUGGCUGUGGCGCAGGCCAACAGCUGUGGCUCCAAUUCCACCCUAGCCUGGGAACUUCCAUGUGCUGCAGGUGCUGCCCUAAAAAGCCAAAAAAAAAAAAAAAAAAACCCAAAAUGAUC
RNAcentral lists this long non-coding RNA (4866 nucleotides) under Sus scrofa (pig). Its description in RNAcentral is "lncRNA (ENSSSCG00055028879.1)". Lineage: Eukaryota; Metazoa; Chordata; Mammalia; Artiodactyla; Suidae. The record is from RNAcentral.